UAGCGGCGAACGGGUGAGUAACACGUGAGCAACCUGCCCCUGACUCUGGGAUAAGCCUGGGAAACCGGGUCUAAUACCGGAUAUGACCGUCUCCGGCAUCGGAUGANGGUGGAAAGAUUUUUUGGUCGGGGAUGGGCUCGCGGCCUAUCAGCUUGUUGGUGGGGUAGUGGCCUACCAAGGCGACGACGGGUAGCCGGCCUGAGAGGGCGACCGGCCACACUGGGACUGAGACACGGCCCAGACUCCUACGGGAGGCAGCAGUGGGGAAUAUUGCGCAAUGGGCGGAAGCCUGACGCAGCGACGCCGCGUGGGGGAUGACGGCCUUCGGGUUGUAAACCUCUUUCAGCAGGGACGAAGGUGACGUGUACCUGCAGAAGAAGCGCCGGCUAACUACGUGCCAGCAGCCGCGGUAAUACGUAGGGCGCAAGCGUUGUCCGGAAUUAUUGGGCGUAAAGAGCUCGUAGGUGGCUGGUCGCGUCUGCCGUGAAAGCCCGCAGCUUAACUGCGGGUCUGCGGUGGAUACGGGCCGGCUAGAGGUAGGUAGGGGCAAGUGGAAUUCCU
Molecule: ribosomal RNA, 561 nt
Filed under: Nonomuraea sp. 419F05
Lineage: Bacteria; Bacillati; Actinomycetota; Actinomycetes; Streptosporangiales; Streptosporangiaceae
Description: bacterial SSU rRNA
Rfam family: Bacterial small subunit ribosomal RNA
Source: RNAcentral